This 64-nucleotide transfer RNA is filed under the name Enicospilus sp. MD-2008. RNAcentral's name for it is "tRNA-Gly". The record is from RNAcentral. Lineage: Eukaryota; Metazoa; Arthropoda; Insecta; Hymenoptera; Ichneumonidae.
AUUUUAUUAGUAUAAUUUAUUACAUUUAAUUUCCAAUUAAAAUAUCUAUUUAUUAGAUAAAAUA